AAAGCUUGUGCUGCAGCAUCACAACCAGCGGUGGCGCAGCCUGCAGAAUCAGAAAACGGUUCACAAAAAUUCAAAAAAAAAAAGUUCACCAAGCCUAUUUACCAUAUAAGUCUUAUUUAUAACAACCACUUAACCUUUUGGUGCUUCACACAGGACUAGUCACCCAAACAACACGGUUCGCUGUCAGGGACUGGGUAAAACGAAGAUGAAACACACCGCCUAUUUACACACCCAUCACUUAUUCAUCGCUGACAGUCAUAUGUUUCACUAUUCAUCACUCAACCAGAACAGGCACCAACUUAUUCAUCGCUGACAGUCAUAUGUCUUACUAUUCAUCACUCAACCAGAACAGGCACCAUACUAUAGAACCCUAAGGUUGGUAAGGAAGGCCGCGCAAAAAUCCAGGAAGAGGAGCUGAGGUCCAGUAACUCUCUGCAUAUCUAGCAGGUACUUGUCAUCCUUGGUCUUGUAAAGCUGAAGAAAAAACAAAUACAUAAAUUCAGAGGCAAAUAGAGAG
This 517-nucleotide long non-coding RNA is filed under the name Triticum aestivum (bread wheat). RNAcentral describes it as "long non-coding RNA (TAES_LNC003408)". Lineage: Eukaryota; Viridiplantae; Streptophyta; Magnoliopsida; Poales; Poaceae. The record is from RNAcentral.